Cucumis melo (muskmelon) is the source of this 854-nucleotide long non-coding RNA. RefSeq lists it as uncharacterized. The transcript has 2 exons. Lineage: Eukaryota; Viridiplantae; Streptophyta; Magnoliopsida; Cucurbitales; Cucurbitaceae. The record is from RefSeq and is a predicted model, not a curated record.
AUAUUUUCUAACGUUAAUGUAUUGUAGGACAUUACCAAAGGCUUCAAUUAUGAGUAAAUUCGUAUGACUAUGCUAAGAAAUUUAUGAAAUUAUGCUUUGUUUGGUUAUCUUAUGGAUAUUCAGCAAAUGCAACGUGACAUUGAGUUUAGGAGUAUGCUUUGUUUGCUGUUUUGCUUUGUAAUGUGGUUAUGUUGUUCAAAUCAGAUUCUUGUUUUUUAUGGCUCUAUUGUAAUAAUUGUUGUUUAGCCAUAAGAACAACCAAGAGAUAUAUUGUUCUCUUAUCUAUGUAAUCAAGCAAAUCACAAGCACCAAAUAAUAUGUAGGAAAUUGAUGGUUCAAGUUCAAGCUUCAGUCAACUGUUUGGAAUUGAAGGUAUUAUACAAAAAAGUUUAUCUUACCAUGUUUCUCAAUUUGUUUUUUAGGAAGACUUGAAUGAACAAGUUACAAUAUUAUCUUGGUAAGACGGUUAUGUGGUUGCACUUGGUUUAAUAAUUUUUUUUUUUUGUGGUGUUGUUUCAAAUACUUAGUUUAACAAGGAUCUACCUUCCGCAUUGCGCAAUAAAAGUUAUGUUUGGGAGCUAUCACUAAACAAAUGACUGCAAUAGAAGAAAUAGUUGCAAGUGAGUACAAUUAGCCAGACCCUCAUCUUUGUGACAAGAUCUUGAAGUUGGUCAUUUGUGAAGCGUUCUAGUUUACUAUUAGUUGCAGUUUUAGUUAUUGCUCUCUCAAUAUAUUCUUUUUCUUUCUUUCUUUCUUUUUUUUCCCCAAAGGAUGAUCAGUGUAAUAAUUAAACUUCAUAAUUUCUUUGUGUUUGGAGCAAGUUGUAUAUAAAUGUACACAUUAUUAAGAUUUUA